AUACGUAGGGGGCGAGCGUUGUCCGGAAUGAUUGGGCGUAAAGGGCGCGUAGGCGGCCCGGUAAGUCUGGAGUGAAAGUCCUGUUUUUAAGAUGGGAAUUGCUUUGGAUACUGUCGGGCUUGAGUGCAGGAGAGGUAAGUGGAAUUCCCAGUGUAGCGGUGAAAUGCGUAGAGAUUGGGAGGAACACCAGUGGCGAGGCGACUUACUGGACUGUAACUGACGCUGAGGCGCGAAAGUGUGGGGAGCAAACAGGAUUAGAUACCCUGGUAGUCCACACUGUAAACGAUGAAUGCUAGGUGUAGGGGGUAUCGACCCCUUCUGUGCCGCAGUCAACACAAUAAGCAUUCCGCCUGGGGAGUACGGCCGCAAGGUUGAAACUCAAAGGAAUUGACGGGG
RNAcentral lists this ribosomal RNA (396 nucleotides) under uncultured bacterium. RNAcentral's name for it is "partial 16S ribosomal RNA". It matches the Rfam family "Bacterial small subunit ribosomal RNA", at positions 523 to 918 of the family's 1533-position model. The record is from RNAcentral.